Molecule: ribosomal RNA, 253 nt
Filed under: uncultured bacterium
Lineage: Bacteria
Description: partial 16S ribosomal RNA
Rfam family: Bacterial small subunit ribosomal RNA
Source: RNAcentral
UACGUAGGGGGCAAGCGUUAUCCGGAUUUACUGGGUGUAAAGGGAGCGUAGACGGCGAUGCAAGUCUGAAGUGAAAGCCCGGGGCUCAACCCCGGGACUGCUUUGGAAACUGUAUGGCUGGAGUGCUGGAGAGGCAAGCGGAAUUCCUAGUGUAGCGGUGAAAUGCGUAGAUAUUAGGAAGAACCCCAGUGGCGAAGGCGGCUUGCUGGACAGUAACUGACGUUGAGGCUCGAAAGCGUGGGGAGCAAACAGG